Molecule: ribosomal RNA, 497 nt
Filed under: uncultured bacterium
Lineage: Bacteria
Description: partial 16S ribosomal RNA
Rfam family: Bacterial small subunit ribosomal RNA
Source: RNAcentral
GACGAACGCUGGCGGCGUGCCUAAUACAUGCAAGUUGAGCGAUGAAGAUUGGUGCUUGCACCAAUUUGAAGAGCAGCGAACGGGUGAGUAACGCGUGGGGAAUCUGCCUUUGAGCGGGGGACAACAUUUGGAAACGAAUGCUAAUACCGCAUAACAACUUUAAACAUAAGUUUUAAGUUUGAAAGAUGCAAUUGCAUCACUCAAAGAUGAUCCCGCGUUGUAUUAGCUAGUUGGUGAGGUAAAGGCUCACCAAGGCGAUGAUACAUAGCCGACCUGAGAGGGGGAUCGGCCACACUGGGACUGAGACACGGCCCAAACUCCUACGGGAGGCAGCAGUAGGGAAUCUUCGGCAAUGGACGAAAGUCUGACCGAGCAACGCCGCGUGAGUGAAGAAGGUUUUCGGAUCGUAAAACUCUGUUGGUAGAGAAGAACGUUGGUGAGAGUGGAAAGCUCAUCAAGUGACGGUAACUACCCAGAAAGGGACGGCUAACUACGUG